RNAcentral lists this ribosomal RNA (301 nucleotides) under uncultured bacterium. RNAcentral describes it as "partial 16S ribosomal RNA". It matches the Rfam family "Bacterial small subunit ribosomal RNA", at positions 509 to 809 of the family's 1533-position model. The record is from RNAcentral.
CAGUAGCCGCGGUAAAACGUAGGGUGCAAGCGUUAAUCGGAAUUACUGGGCGUAAAGCGUGCGCAGGCGGUUUGUUAAGACAGAUGUGAAAUCCCCGGGCUUAACCUGGGAACUGCAUUUGUGACUGGCAAGCUAGAGUAUGGCAGAGGGGGGUGGAAUUCCGCGUGUAGCAGUGAAAUGCGUAGAUAUGCGGAGGAACACCGAUGGCGAAGGCAGCCCCCUGGGCCAAUACUGACGCUCAUGCACGAAAGCGUGGGGAGCAAACAGGAUUAGAUACCCCGGUAGUCCCUGUCUCUUAUAA